This 333-nucleotide unclassified non-coding RNA is filed under the name Hevea brasiliensis (rubber tree). Lineage: Eukaryota; Viridiplantae; Streptophyta; Magnoliopsida; Malpighiales; Euphorbiaceae. The record is from RNAcentral.
UAGACCUUUCCUUGACACGUUCCUGCAACAAAUAUAUUAAGUUGGUUUGAUCAAACUAACUACAGGUAGUAUUUCCAUAACAUACAGGAUAUACUCUUAACUUCCCUAAUUUGUUCCACAUAGAAACACCCAGAGGAAAAGAACUACGAAGGGCAUUCCAAGUUAAAUCCGUAAACGCCUCACAGAUGUGCAUAUAUAUAACAUUUCCAUUAGUAAAUAUGUGCACAGAUGAACAUUCUGCAUACAUACGUAGCUACAGAUAUGCAUACAUAUCGGACAUGCAUAAUAUGCGACAUCAGUUAAUUUUUAAAGGAAUUAGAAAGAUAAAUAUUG